AUAAAAAUUUUAUAAUUUUGAAAGUUUAAUUUAAAUUUAUUUUACAUAUAAAUUUUAGUGUUAAUUUUUUAUUAUUUUAAUAAUAUUAAAGAAUAUUUAAUAGUAAUUAAAAUUAAAUAUUUAAGAAAUUAAGAUUUAGUAAUAUUUAUAAAUUAUAAACAAAUUUUGUGCCAGCAGUUGCGGUUACACAAAAUAUAAUUUAAAUUUUAUUAGUAAAUAAUAAGUAAUUAAUAAAUUAAAAUUAAAUUUUAAAUUAUUAGGUGAAAUUUUAAUUUAAAAAAAUUUUUAAUUAAGAUUAUGAUUUAUAAAAUUUUUUUAAAAACUAGGAUUAGAUACCCUAUUAUUAAAAAUUAAAUUAAUAAUACUAAAAUAGUAGAUAAUAAUUUAUUAAAACUUAAAUAAAUUGGCGGUAUUUUAGUUCAUUUAGAGGAAUCUGUUUAAUAAUUGAUAAUCCACGAAUAAAUUUACUUAAUUAUUUAAUUUUGUAUAUCGUUGUUAAAAAAAUAUUUUUUAAUAAAAAUAAUAUUUUAAUAUUAGGAAAAAAAAAUUAAUUCAGAUCAAGAUGCAGAUUAUAUUUAAGAAUAUAAUGGAUUACAAUAAUAAUAAAAAUUAAAUGAAUAAUAUUUUUUAAAAAAUAUUUGAAGGUGGAUUUAAAUGUAAUUUUUUUUUUAGUUUAUAAAAAUGAUUUAAAAUUAAAAUAUGUACAUAUUGCCCGUCGCUUUCAUUAAUAAAUUGAAAUAAGUCGUAACAAAGUAGAGGUACUGGAAAGUGUUUCUAGA
RNAcentral lists this non-coding RNA (779 nucleotides) under Eurytides dolicaon. Lineage: Eukaryota; Metazoa; Arthropoda; Insecta; Lepidoptera; Papilionidae. The record is from RNAcentral.